Suricata suricatta (meerkat) is the source of this 107-nucleotide small nuclear RNA. The record is from Ensembl. Lineage: Eukaryota; Metazoa; Chordata; Mammalia; Carnivora; Herpestidae.
GUGCUCACUUCAGCAACACAGACACUAAUAUUGGAAUGAUACAGAAAAGAUAAGCAUUGCCCCUCCACAGGAUGAAAUGUCCCUUUCACCACAACAAGGUGAAAGUA